GCAUUGGCUCGCUCCUGUUCUUGGUGACUUCAAGAGUUCAGUCAACCAAGAACUGGCCCAAGAAGAACUUCGGGGCUGGAGAGGGAGCAGAUCUGGAGGCUGUCGGAGAGAAAGGAGUGCACUUCUGUGUCCUCCAUGUCAUCUUCGAGGAAAAGCCAGGCAGGGGAAGCACAAAGGAUAACCAAACUAAUGCAGCGACCUGAAAUCAAGGCAGGACCGCGGCCUGGUGGGAACAGCCCGAGGUUCCCUGAGAUCUCCGCUGGUCCUGCAGGUGUGUUAACGCGGGCACCAAAAGCUAAGCGCCAAAAUCCAUUCCUGAGUUUUCAGUUUGUCUUGAUUUUCAGAGCUCCUUAUCUGGUAUUGACUUAGGUAUCUAAUGACCCAAUUCAUCAAGUAGUUUAAGCAUGUAACUAAUUUUAAUCAAGUGCGUAAUCCCACGUUUAGUUGGGCACACGUGGAAGUAUCUUGCUGAAUGAAAAACUGCGUAUAAAGACCAAUUUAAGGCAAAUCCCUGCUUGAGUAUGUUCCCUUUGUUCUUUGUGAGAAAAAGGAGUAUUUUAGUAAGGAGACAUUUCCAGGGCAGCCAACAGAGCUUGAGUGCAGAGCCAGAAAGCGGCAGGUGAGCGCUUCCCCUCCAAGCGCUGUCGGUGCCGCACGGUGGCUGAGUCCCCGCCGAGCUACUCCUCAUCUACUGACCCUCGCCUCCCUGACAUCCAUUCCCCUCACCUAACAAUGACAAAUGGAGUUAUAAUAUUGGUUGUUGAACCAUAAGCUGUAGAUAAAUGUGCUUCUGAGAACCACCAUUAAGUCCCUAAAUGGAUUAUAUAUAUUUGGUUUAGAAACCUAAUAUUUAAUAUUAGUGUACUCUCCAGCGGUUGGCUUUAUUUCUCUUGAUAAUCUAUUCCCACUCCAUUUCCUUUUAGAUUUCUAACCUCAUUAAACCUUUCAUAUCACAGUUAUUUUCUGUUCUAAACAAAAUUAAAGACACACCAUCCCCAGGUUUUAAGAGUCUAAUUUUACUCCCGAACUGGAGAAAACACAGAGAUAAACAUUCUUUUCAGUGAUGAAUUUUAAAACCGCUUUACGAGUCAGCUGGAAUUGCUAACCAUAUUGAGGAUUGUAAAAGUCUGUGAAAGGCAGCAUAAUAAAUGAUGCUUGAAAUGGCAUUUGUUGUAUGGGAGUUCAGAUGCUUACAUGGUAUCUUUCCCUUCUUGGUUUUGUGUAAAAUGUGAGGAUGUAUUUCACGUUGUACAGUACCUUAAGAAUUUAUAACGUUUCAUUUCUGCUCUGAUUGUCUGCAAAGAAUCUCAGUUACCAGCAGGGGUUCCUUAAAUUCACAUGGCCAGGAGAAAGCGCUAUCUGUGUAAUACUCUGCUCCCAGUGUGCACAUUAAACUGGUUUUUCUUGAUCGAGGACACAUUUCUUCCUUAUCAUCAGGCACUUUGGCACAUUGCUUGUUCUGAUAUAUACAAGUAUUGCACUCAGCCUUACUAGACAUGUUAAAAUUGUGUUUGACCAUUCUUGUUACACAAUGCCAUGGCCUCUACAGUGGCUGGUUUAAGGAAAAAUGCAAUAUGUGUGGUGUUGAAAAGCAAUUUGCAGGCUAGAAGAAGCUUGAAAUUAUAUCCCACAUUUGUCCAGAUCCAUGUAUCUUUCCCAUGUUUUCCUGUAGGGCCCAUGUUAUUUCUGCUAAUUAUCGAGUAUCUUUGUCAUUAAAUCAGGACUACACACUUUGUAGCCUGUCUGCUGCUUUUCCUUCCCCUUCCUCCAGAGCCGUGUGGCUGCGUUACGGUGUCACAUUGGUGGUGACAUUGCCAUCACAGCUGACGGUGACCUCAUAAAGGACAGGACCACGACCUGAGCACAGGGCUGGGCUGCAGGCAGGCAGAACAGGCUUCUGCAGGGAGAAAACUCGUCAGCGACGGCACAGCACCCGUUUUGCAGGUCCAAGACCUGUAGUUUGAACAAGCUUUGCAUCCUAAAAAAACUGAGGUUCCCUUCACCUUGCUGCAGGGGAGAUGCUGUUAUCUUCCAUCCCUCUGCUGCAGGCUUGAGACAGGGGCAGGGAGCCCAGGACACUUCGGUUGCACAUCAAUAGCCAGAAUUACCUCCAGCGGUUCCUGGCUCCCUGUCCUUUGCUCAUCUGUUAGUCUAUAAGUCAGAAACAGCAUGGUGCUAAUCGCUGAGAAGUUCUGGGAGAAGGCUGGUCAGCAGGGUGCUUACAUGAAGAGUGAUGUGCUGAAAUGAUAGGGAAAUAGGUCUUUAUCCUGACCUUUUUCCUCUCCCUUCCAAUUGUGUGGAGCAGUUAACGAUGACCAGAAGCUUUCCUGGCAAGCUGUGGCUAGCAGUUUUGCUAAUUUACAUUUCUUUCCAAGGGUUCAGCAUCAUUGUCUUUAAUAGGAUGCUCUUGUUAAGGACUUGGUUGUGGGUGUUUAUGACGUCCCCACAUUUAUGUUCUCCUUCUGUUUUCUUUCACCAUACACGAGGACAAUGUCCUUGAGUGCACUGUGUUGCAAGAGGAUGCAUUAUUAGGAGUCUAUUUUAAGCCGGUUUCCAUCAGGUUUAUUACACCCUGUGAAUUCAUCACAUUUCUGCUCACCUGCGUUAGCUGCAUGUGACAGCGUUACCAUCCUCCUUGCAGAGGGCAGGAGCGGGUGGCGGAGCUGCUCUGUUUCAGGUUCUAAUGGCUGCUUAUUUCAGACAGUUUUAUCUUCACCCACCCAUAGCAAUCACCUCCAUUACAUCCAUUCUGGACUCUGCCACCGAACAAAUCGAUGCGCCCCUGACAGUCGGAGAUUGCGCGAGUGCAUGGGAAUCCUGAGGAAUCAAUCGCACCCAGGUGCAUCUGAGGGGAUUAGUGGUUUUCCCCCGGGGAGAAGCAGCUGGCGAUAUUGGCCCCUGACUCAGCAGCUUCCUUCCAAUUUCCCAUUUCAGAAAUAGAGCAGCAGGCUCUAAAUCUUCCGUGCCUGAGCGCAGAGUGGAGAGCCCAAUGCAAAGUUACAUUUCACUUGGUACUGACAGAUGGAAAGCCGUAAUAAUGUCCCUUUCUGCCCGAUGAGCGAUGGGUUCCCACGGCGCUGGACAGAUCUGGAGCGUGGCUGCAGAGGCGCAGGUGAUGCCAGGAGCUGGCUGCUCCUGGGAGAGCCGCUCUCCUCUGUGGACACCACGCUUUCGGGGGGGGUCUGGGGGCUGCUGCAGAGGGGGCGCCCACCACAGCGCCUGGGGGACGAUGAUCGGUGUACACAUGUAGAAAUCGGUUCUUGUGUUCACACUGUACCAGUACCAAAUUGACACCAGGCUCAUCAAUUUGGGGUUCUUUGCUCUGAAUUAGAGCAAUUUAAACAGGCACUGUUUAAAGCCUAGGCGGGAUAGUUGCAACCUGUUCCAUAGUGGGUUUGUCUCAGAUUGUUUGCAAAUCCUGUUUUGUACCCCAGAAAUGCUGCUGACUGAAGCAGGCAAUGGGAGUGAAAGCCUUUAAGGUAAUGUGUCUAGGAUAGAUUUCGUGUUGUUAGGAAGUCGGGGUGAGCAAGCCUGCUUCUACUCCAUUGCACAGGUGAAGGAGACAAAGGGGUUUUAGAUGCAAGGUUGGUACUUGCCACAAAUAUUAAAUUUACUCAUAGGAGUUUAGAUGGCGCAACCGAAUAAAUCAUCAAGAUGGAAGAGACAGAUCCUUAUGACCAUAAAAUAGUGAUAAUCCUAUACUGUAAUGUUAAUGAGCCUGAGUUUCUCAGGCUUGCCAUAUGCAACCUCCCUGUUGGCUUUAGUAGACACCACCAUAUGUGUAGAGGUCCAGAUUCCGGCAUUUUUCCAUUUCCCCCGAUGGAAGAGACUCCUUUGUGCAGAGAAAAUCUGUGAGUUUGCCUGUAGGUCAAAAUAAAAAAUAAAAAAAAUCCAUCAAAGGAGCAAGUUUCCUUCCCUUUGAGCUCACUGGUGCUCUCAGAAGCUCCUCUCAUUUACGUCCAGCAUGCCAAGUCAACUCGCGGUGCUCCUGCCGCUGAGUGUGCCGUAGACGCUCAGCAUGCCUCGGACUGACUCCGCGAGUUGGGAGCAGAUGUUGGCUCCGUGACAGGUCUGUGUCAGCAGCGUGUUUUGAUAACAGCAGACUAUUCCCAGCUGGUUUCUGAAGAGUUUUUCUCUUUUCCUCUCUUUUCCUCCUCUUGCUUUGAGCCCCUCUCCAUCAGCCUCAGAGCACACAUUCCGAAAAGAUGUGCCCAGCUCUUUUCUUGAUGCUAUUUAAUUUGUUGCAUCGCUCGUGUUUCAAGGCUUUUUUAAAAUGUUGUCCUUCACACAGUUGGGAAUCCCCCAAAUUCAACUUUUCCUUCACUAACUAAUUUCCACGGAAGGAAGGUCUGCGUUUCUUCCCGUCUGGCAAGAGUGCGGAGAGAUGCAAUCCCUGCUUAAUGUAGCUCUGCCACCAGAAACCCAAUAAAAAGCCAGAUUUAACCCAGUUAGCUAUAUCCAUGUCAGGAGCUCUCGGUCACCAGCCCAGGGCUGAGCUUUGGUAUCGCUCACCUGGCCAUGCUGGGGGAGAUGGGCACAGCUGCGCCCAGGGAGCGUCUGCGGUGGGGAUCACAUCCAAACGGGAAGGUGUUCUCUGCCGGGAGCCCACAGCGUGGCUGUCUGUCAGGGUCUUACUGGCCUCCAAAUAAAGGCAGAAGAGAAGGAAGCUUGUGAUGUCUCUCUAGAUUAAAUGUUGGAACUGAAGUUCACCCACCUCUCUUAUCUUCCAUCAGAUUCAGUGCUAGAUUAGUGUUAGAAGACUGCUAAAUGGCUUGGGAUAAUUUUUUAUUCCACCUCCGCCUUCAUACAUCUGUUUACCUGGUUAGUUGUGGUUGAAAAAUCCUGCAAUAACUUGUUUUAAAUAUAUAUGACAUUUCUGCAGCCUUGUCAGCAGGGCAGGAGCUCUCUCCGGGCCCACGUUUGGCGAGGAUGCUUCAGAAACAGAUCAACUGCGAGCCCCGAGCCAGCUUCCAGGCGAGUUAAUGAAGCAGUGUGUGGCUGCGAACUGGUUACUUGACCUCUUCACACCGUAAAUCCAGCCAUCUAGAAAACUGGGGAGAAAGCAGAACCCAUGGACUUGCAGACAAGCCGUGUCUGCCGUGUCCCCCUGGGGAACUGGGAGCCUGCAGGAGCCGCCCUGGCACAAGUCGUUAGCGCUCCUUCCUCGACAGGAGCCUGUACGACCUGGUUCUUUGCUCGCCUGCUUUCUCCUCUGGCCUUGAACUCCCUGCAGCAGUUUCCAGGCAAACAGCAGGUUUGGGGACCGUGCUGUAAUGGGAAACCUCCGUUUCCCUUUAACCAGGUCUUCAACCCUGCAAAACAAUCAGCCCUUCCCUUCCGUGGAGAGGCCGCGGUAUCUAAUCAGGUUUCACUCCUUUGUUGUAUCUAUUGAUCCUUGGCACUGUAAGAUGCAAAUUGCCAUGCCUGACAGGAUUCAGGGUGUUUUAUCAUCAAUGGAGAGUAAUUAUCCUUGGCUGCACCAAUAUUGGAUUGUUAAGCCCCAGGAUAAUGCACAAGGUAAAGACAUUUAGAAGGCAGUCCACCUUGGGGAUUUGUGUAAAUGUGAUGGAUAGAGUGAGAGGAGGAUAGCUGAAUUACAGCCCGCAGGGACCGGCAGCUGCAUGGGGGGGUAGCCCUGAUAAUCCUUGCAGCAGAGAUAGCGCUGCGUUUGGUAUUGAGACACAAAGUGCAUCCAAAGCUGUAAGUUUUUCUUUCUGUUUAAUCCUUGUAAUGUGUAUAUGCUGAAGAAGAAAACAUAUGCAAGAUCUUGAAUGGAUUCUGUGCGUUUGCAAGACUAGCCAAGUGACUUCUUCUGUUCGUUUAUUUAUCUAGCCAUAAUUCAAGCUUUUCUUGUGAGCAUAUUUCAGAGGCACGAGGGUUUUGGGUGCUUAUUUCUUUGUCUGUGGAUUCCAGUUCAAUACUAAGAGCAGAAUUAUAAAUGAAUAAGUAGCAGCUACUUUUCUUUUUUGAACGUAUCUGGUUAACCAUUGCAUAUUCUGCUGGAUAAAGCAGUUAAGCUGCCUUAGCUGUGGGGAGAAAACGUGUCAACAGAGAUGCCAUGUUAGCUGCCUAAUCCUCGACUGAUAGCCAACCUGAAAGUAGACUCAUGGAAGAAAAUCUCUUUCUCCAGAGUUAUCCAUAUGAGCUGGGUCUUAUACCUGUCACUUCCUUCUUUAAAUCAGCCCAUUUCUGCAGUUGCAAAAUAAACAAGACAGAGAUAGAAAAAUGAGUGUUGGUGCCUGAGAACUCCUGCCAUGAUUAAUGUUGAAGGUAGUUUCCAAAGACCAUCAGGCUC
Cygnus olor (mute swan) is the source of this 6295-nucleotide long non-coding RNA. RefSeq lists it as uncharacterized. Lineage: Eukaryota; Metazoa; Chordata; Aves; Anseriformes; Anatidae. The transcript has 3 exons. The record is from RefSeq and is a predicted model, not a curated record.